Molecule: non-coding RNA, 136 nt
Organism: Brachypodium distachyon (stiff brome)
Lineage: Eukaryota; Viridiplantae; Streptophyta; Magnoliopsida; Poales; Poaceae
Source: Rfam
UUUGUACUCCCUCUGUCCAACAAAGGAUGUCUCAAGUUUGACUAAAUGUGAACGCAUGUAUACAUUAAGUCAUGUCUAGAUACAUUCAAAUUUUGAUAAACUUGAGACAUCUUUUGUUGGACGGAGGGAGUAUCAA